Molecule: ribosomal RNA, 411 nt
Filed under: uncultured bacterium
Lineage: Bacteria
Description: bacterial SSU rRNA
Rfam family: Bacterial small subunit ribosomal RNA
Source: RNAcentral
UGAGGAAUAUUGGUCAAUGGGGGCAACCCUGAACCAGCCAAGUCGCGUGAAGGAUGAAGGUCUUAUGGAUUGUAAACUUCUUUUAUACAGGAAUAAAUUGGGGGACGUGUCCCCUUUUGCAUGUACUGUAUGAAUAAGGAUCGGCUAACUCCGUGCCAGCAGCCGCGGUAAUACGGAGGAUCCGAGCGUUAUCCGGAUUUAUUGGGUUUAAAGGGUGCGCAGGCGGGAUGUUAAGUCGGCGGUGAAAUUUUGCAGCUCAACUGUAAAAGUGCCUUCGAUACUGGCUGCCUUGAGUGUGGAUGAAGUAGGCGGAAUUCGUGUUGUAGCCGUCAAAUGCUUAGAUAUCACGAGGAACUCCGAUUGCGCAGGCAGCUUACUAAGCCACAACUGACGCGCAUGCACGAAGGCGUG